UCUUUCCUAUAUAGAAUAUUACGGAAUAUAAAGUGAUUGCAAUGAAUUAUUCGCGAAGAAAGUUUCACACAAGCUUGGAAUUGGAAUUCUUUCUAGAAUAAAAAAAAAAAAAAAAGAAAAAAGGAAAACGCGGAAAAAAGGAAAAAAGUUCACGUUUACAAUUUGCAAAUGUUCAUUCGCGUUUAACAUGCAAGCUAUAGAAGGCCAUAAUUUAUCGGUUGGCGCGCGUGGACCUUCCUCGCAUAUAAUAUGCAUCGCUAUUUAAAAGCAAUCGGGUCUCGCGUGCUCGGUACGCAGCGUGAGUCACCUGGCCUACGGAUAGGGCUUCGCUAUUUCUUAUUGUGCAUGAUUGGCUAAUGAACCAUGUGCGACUGUUACCGUUUUUUUAUCGACGAAUUCUUGUCUCAUUGUAAUAAAAUUCUCAUUUAUAUAUAGCGUGGCGGGGUUACAAGAUCGUACGGUAUCGUGUUUAUCGUUUUAAACCAAUUGGACGACGAGCCGGUUAAUUGCGAACGUAGUAGGUCUGAUAAUGCGAAGCCCGUGGAACAAUGCGAUGAUAAUUGGUGGUAAACUGUAAUGUAAUUAUGCGAUAUAUCCUGUGCAUUGUUCAAAAUAAUUAAAGGAUCAAAUAAUACCAAAUAAUGAAUAUUCCCAUGCAAUUCGUUUAUCUCUGCUAUAUUUAAUUCAUUUUACAAAAUCAUUCAUCAUUUGUUUUCAAAAAUUUCAUUUGGAUUCCUUCUUAUCUUUUAUAAAUAAAAGAAUAUUAUGUUAUGAAAAUAUUGCCACAAUUCUAGAAACGAUUGUCCAUUGUGAAAGUAUCGAAAAGCAUCGGUACGACUGGUGAAAUUGCAGUUCUCUAUAAAUUUAAUGAUUCGAAAUUGUAACCUUGCCAUUGUAGACACGCGAUUCGGCAUCGCAUUGUCGCAUUCUUGUCGCUUUUCAUGCAAUCGGUACGACUAUUCCCUUGGAAAUUACAGUAUUUUUGGUGUUCAAUGAACAUUUGCUCAAAUUCAAUCGAUCGAAUUUAUCGAUUCAAGGCAAAUGGUCACGCUAUCGGUAUUUAGUGACGCAGAGAAUCGUGGAAAAAAGUGAAUAGCAAAGAGAGAGAGAGAAAGAGAGAGAGAGAGAGAGAGAACAAGAUGGAAUUGUUCUUCGAGUUGGGAUUCGAGACAAUACGCUCGUCCAUUUUAUUCGCGAGGGAUCUAUUCGCGAGAAAGUUUUUGUCGUUCGUAGUCGUCUUUAUUUUUAUCUUUGUGCACGGAACGUUGAUACAGAUGUGUAUAACCUGAUUGCAAGUUUUUCUAUUUCUCGAUUAAUCGAAUGCGAAUCGAUUCAAUCUCGAAUCCUUUCGAUCUGACGGUUAAUCGAUUUCUAGUUCGAUAUUACCGAUAGAGGGAAACUCGUGUUCAUUCGAGAACUGGUAUCGAUCGUGUUAUCCGUUAUCAAGCUCGCGGACCCACGAAGCGAUAUCGAUUGCGCUUUUCGAAUAGUGAAACGCGAUUAUUCAAUCUCGAAUGACAUACUAUUGCGCGAACGCCUCUUGUGCGCCUCGCUGUCUGCGAGUGGCCGUACUAACUCCAGUGUUUCUCAAUUCAAGGCAACGUUCUCGCGUUCCUCGUUGCUAAAUUAUUACGGUCGGGUUAAGCCUUUGAGCUUCCAUCAUUCUCGACGUAGUUGAGAUUCGAUAUCACGUGUAGCCGGCAACGAGAUUUAUUCACGCUCGCGAUCGAAAGACUUUUUUUAUCGUUCAAUUCAGUUCGAUUUAUAAAAUCUUCAAACGUCCAAUGGAUUAACGUCGCGACGUGGCGGUGAACAGGAGAGGCAAAGGACAAUCCCGUUCCAAUUUGGAAUUUCGAAGACGUUUCAGCGUUAGGAAUCGUUCGUAACGAUCUUUGUUACACGGUGUUAAUCGCGGAAGCUCAAGAGCCCGAACGAGCGAGGACAAAACGAGAAAAUCCGAGGGAAACUACUCGACUAACACCGAGUCACCCUUGUAUCAUAAGCAGAUUAGAUUAGAUUAAAUUAAAUACCGAACGCUUCUCGCUUGUCGUUAGAAUCACGACGAACGAACUUGUACAUCGUAUAUAUACGUGGUGUAGCCUGAGGUACGGCCAUAAACAGAGAGAGAAAAAGAGAUAGAGAGAG
Long non-coding RNA from Apis dorsata (giant honeybee), 2145 nucleotides. RefSeq lists it as uncharacterized. The record is from RefSeq and is a predicted model, not a curated record. Lineage: Eukaryota; Metazoa; Arthropoda; Insecta; Hymenoptera; Apidae. The transcript is spliced from 3 exons.